GCCUCCCGUGAGCUCAUGCAUGCGGUUGGCCUAAAAGCGAGUCCUCGGCGACGCGCGCCACGACAAUCGGUGGUUGUCAAACCCUCGUGUCCCGUCGUGCGUGCCGCGUCGCUCAUCGUGUGCUCCUUGACCCUGCUGUGUCGCGCUAGCGACGCUUCCAACGCGACCCCAGGUCAGGCGGGACUACCCGCUGAAUUUAA
This 200-nucleotide unclassified non-coding RNA is filed under the name soil metagenome. RNAcentral's name for it is "partial contains internal transcribed spacer 2 and large subunit ribosomal RNA". The record is from RNAcentral.